UUCCUUCUAUAGUGCGACCUUGUGAGGGUCUACAGGAGGGGAUCCAACACCCCUCCCCCACUUCCCUUGAGGCUCUAAUCUGGCCUUGACUUGGAGCAUGCAUGAAGGGAGGUGGGGGCGGAGUCAGAGGGCGGAGAAGACAGUCCCGUGUACCCCAGUCUUCCCAUUGCCAGAGUGCUUAGGGCCAUGGGAAACAGAGAGGUCCCUGAAGACAGCGAGGUGACAGUCACUGCAAGAGUGGAAGAAGCAACCAAGAGAAGAUGAGAGACCGGGAUUGAAGGAACUAGUGUUCUCGCUGAAGGCCCCACCCGUCUGCACCCCUCCCACUCCUGCUAAAAAGCACCUCUUCCCGCCAAUCAGAUUUGAGAUUCUCUCUCUGGCCUGGCCUGGGCCCUAGCUGGGGGACAGAAGUGGUUGUAACCGAAACUUCUUGCCUAGGGCUGCAAAACCUGAGACCGGACAAGGGGAACAGAUGAAGAGAUGAAGGCCUUCAACUAAUUGGAUGAGGCCCACCUAAAACAUUGAAUGUAAUCUACUUUACUCCAAGACACGGCUUUUGGUGUUAACCUGUCUUUUAAGAAAACGCUCUCGGGGGUUGGGGAUUUAGCUCAGUGGUAGAGCGCUUGCCUAGGAAGCGCAAGGCCCUGGGUUCGGUCCCCAGCUCCGGGGGGGGGGGGGGGGGGAGGAAAAAAAGAAAAAAAAAAGAAGAAGAAAACGCUCUCGAGUUUAAGUGGGUGUUGUCUGAUGGGACAUCUGAGCAAUGUAGUCUGGCCAAGUGAAACAUACAUCCAUCACAGUCCCUAGUAGGAGCCCUAGGGUGCUGAGCGCAAUGAGCCCGAUUAGCAGUGUUUCGCUGGCCUUGCAGCUACUCAACUGCUGCGGGAGCCGGGGCUGGGAGCCGGGGCUGGGAGAGGGUUAUUCAUGCAUGAAGUGUCUCCAGGAAAGCGCUUUCCUUGUCUCCGAUGAUCACCCCAGACUUUACCUCAGAUGCCUUUCCUCUCUGCUGAUUCUGCUCUGUGUUGUGCCCUGUCAUAAAUCACAUCUGAUACGGAUCUUUCCAGUCCUAUCACUGGAUUAUUGAUCAAGGGCAAUCUUGGAGACGCCUAUUCUGCUUUGAUCUGGACUUGGCCCGCCUCCAGCUCCAGUGAGCAGCGCCUCUCCCUGACCCUAUACUCCGCAGCUCCCCAUUCAGCCACCUAUACCGUAUCCAAAUCGGCUGAGCCAUCUCGUGCCUCGCAUGUGCUAACUUCCACGAUACCAAGUCUCAGCAUGUUUCGUUAACUGGUGCUGCAGAGCACGCCACCUCCAGACCCUGUGGCUUAAGACAACAAUAGCUCAUCGCUUCUCCUAUCUCCGUGGGUUGAUGAGUCAGGCGGUUCUUCUGCUUCCCAGGGGUUGACCGGGAAUCUAGGGUGGAAAUCUCUACUGGCUCCACCCACUCAGAUGGCAGCACCGGCUGUUAGUUCAACUGAGGCUAAUGCCCAAGGUCACAGUUCUCUUCCAUUUGAGGCUUCUGUGUGAGACUGGUUGAUUUUCUUCAGAGCACGGUGGGUCGGUUCCAGGAAAAAAAAAUAUAUUCAUAAAGAGCAAGAACAUAGCAAGCUGCAGCUUGCAUCAAUCAUGCUGAUAAACCAUUGAGGUAAGCCAGUGCCCAGACCAAGCUCAGCACCGUCACGGGAGGGAGCUACACAAAGAGACUAGUGCUUGAGUUCACUGGAGAUCGCCAAACUCAGUAUGUCAUUUAUUCAAGUCUUCUUGGACCUUUUUAUGGCCCUCCUGUGUAUUUAACUUAUAGCACUUACCCCAUCAGCUUGAAGCAGUAUGUUUGGUUGCAAGAAUUUUCUUGAACUGGAGCUCCUUUGAGAGCAAACACCAUCUCUCCGUCCUCCCACUAUCCCAGUCCUAACUACGCUGCGCUAGAAGGAUUCAUGGUGAAUUGGGGGAAGACAUGAUUACCAUCUAUUUCCUACUUGCCAAACUCAGGCCCUAUCGUAGUCACCUCAGUUAGACUCUGGAAGUCGAAUAGACACUGUCCUCACUCAGAGUGUGCAGCCAGGUCCUGGAAAUAGAUUCCUGGCAGAUCGGAAGCAUCUAAUAACCCUUGGUGGAAAGAAUAAACACAUGACUGAGCGAACUUCCUAGUUAAUCAUUGAGAUUUUCAAGUCACCCGAUUCUUUCUCUUUGUGACAGGCUCUCCCUCUGGUGCCCUGGCUGGCUCGGAAGGUACUAUGUAGGUGGAACUGCCCUAAACCUCUUAAGGAACCACCUGCCUCCACCCCCUGGGGUGCUAGGGUUAUUGAUGGGUUCCACGGUAUCUUGUUUUUCAGUUUAUAUAUAUGUUUUUAGACAUGCUCUGUGGUCAGGUUGAGAAAGAACACAGAUGAAGCAGGUCCAUCAGAGAUGUCUUUAGGAAGCUUCUCUGGUCUCUCUUUGGGACUAUUCCGUAGGAACACAGUUUCACUUGCUAAAUCAUGUUGUACAGCUUUGUGUCUCUGGGUUAGGAAAGGACAAGGCACACCCCACAGAUGUGUUCUCUGCUUCCCAGACUCUGGGGUUCAGAGCUCCUAAUGCAGGCUCCAUCUGGCUCUAUAAAUAGUCACAGACACAUCUUCAGCGGCAACACACUAGAGUGUGGCAAUCCAUUGUGAACUCAGCUCCUCCCUAUUGCAAAAUUCUGACUUCAUCAGAGAACAGCAGGGGUGAAUCAUUCCCUGUACAGAGGUUCCAAUGACAUCAUUUACUUUUUAAGAACCAGAGGGAGAGGGAGAUGGGAGAGAGAGAAGUUGGUGUUCUGUUCUGUGUUCCUCUUUGGGGACAAGGUACUUUACUCCGCUGUAGGCACCCCGGGAACUACUCCUUACCUAAGACCUCUUCCAGCUUCUGUCUUUUGAAUGUCAUGUUUAAAACUCAAAUAAAAGGUUUGACCUA
Molecule: long non-coding RNA, 2928 nt
Organism: Rattus norvegicus (Norway rat)
Lineage: Eukaryota; Metazoa; Chordata; Mammalia; Rodentia; Muridae
Source: RefSeq, a predicted model, not a curated record